AAUAGAUACCCGGGUAGUCCACACCGUAAACGUUGGGCGCUAGGUGUGGGGCCUAUUCCAUGGGUUCCGUGCCGCAGCUAACGCAUUAAGCGCCCCGCCUGGGGAGUACGGCCGCAAGGCUAAAACUCAAAGGAAUUGACGGGGGGCCCGCACAAGCGGCGGAGCAUGCGGAUUAAUUCGAUGCAACGCGAAGAACCUUACCUGGGUUUGACAUACACCGGAAAGCGCCAGAGAUGGUGCCCCUUUUGUCGGUGUACAGGUGGUGCAUGGCUGUCGUCAGCUCGUGUCGUGAGAUGUUGGGUUAAGUCCCGCAACGAGCGCAACCCUCGUCCUAUGUUGCCAGCACGUCGUGGUGGGGACUCAUAGGAAACUGCCGGGGUCAACUCGGAGGAAGGUGGGGAUGACGUCAAGUCAUCAUGCCCCUUAUGUCCAGGGCUUCACGCAUGCUACAAUGGCCGGUACAAAGGGCUGCGAUGCUGCAAGGCGGAGCGAAUCCCAAAAGCCGGUCUCAGUUCGGAUUGGGGUCUGCAACUCGACCCC
Molecule: ribosomal RNA, 540 nt
Filed under: uncultured bacterium
Lineage: Bacteria
Description: bacterial SSU rRNA
Rfam family: Bacterial small subunit ribosomal RNA
Source: RNAcentral